RNAcentral lists this ribosomal RNA (425 nucleotides) under uncultured soil bacterium. RNAcentral's name for it is "bacterial SSU rRNA". It matches the Rfam family "Bacterial small subunit ribosomal RNA", at positions 957 to 1368 of the family's 1533-position model. The record is from RNAcentral.
AUGAGCCGCGAGACUUACCUGGUCUUGACAUCCACGGAAGUUUUCAGAGAUGAGAAGGUGCCUUCGGGAACCGUGAGACAGGUGCUGCAUGGCUGUCGUCAGCUCGUGUUGUGAAAUGUUGGGUUAAGUCCCGCAACGAGCGCAACCCUUAUCCUUUGUUGCCAGCGGUCCGGCCGGGAACUCAAAGGAGACUGCCAGUGAUAAACUGGAGGAAGGUGGGGAUGACGUCAAGUCAUCAUGGCCCUUACGACCAGGGCUACACACGUGCUACAAUGGCGCAUACAAAGAGAAGCGACCUCGCGAGAGCAAGCGGACCUCAUAAAGUGCGUCGUAGUCCGGAUUGGAGUCUGCAACUCGACUCCAUGAAGUCGGAAUCGCUAGUAAUCGUGGAUCAGAAUGCCACGGUGAAUAUUUCUCCCCGGGCA